Molecule: long non-coding RNA, 246 nt
Filed under: Capsicum annuum
Lineage: Eukaryota; Viridiplantae; Streptophyta; Magnoliopsida; Solanales; Solanaceae
Description: long non-coding RNA (CANN_LNC000369)
Source: RNAcentral
GGAAAGCCUCUAAAUUCUGUAAAUCCGCUAGAGCAUACGUACGAUUUUGAGCCCCGCUAGAACUCGUGGCUCCUCUAUCACCUCUAACACAACCCAUUGGUUGUGCACCCCUUCCUGAAUAAGGCAUCGAUGAUGAUAAUGCAAAAAAUGACCCCAUAGGUCGUGCCAUACCCCCUAUACCUCUUCGUGGGCAUUCUCUCAUCAUAUGCCCCAAUAUACCGUACCAAAAGCAAACAUUGGUCCCCA